RNAcentral lists this ribosomal RNA (255 nucleotides) under uncultured bacterium. Its description in RNAcentral is "partial 16S ribosomal RNA". It matches the Rfam family "Bacterial small subunit ribosomal RNA", at positions 524 to 776 of the family's 1533-position model. The record is from RNAcentral.
UACGGAGGGGGCAAGCGUUAUUCGGAAUUAUUGGGCGUAAAGGGCGCGUAGGCGGCAUGGCAAGUGGAUGGUGAAAUCCCUCGGCUUAACCGAGGAACUGCCGUCCAAACUGCUUCGCUUGAGACCGGGAGAGGUGAGUGGAAUUCCCAGUGUAGCGGUGAAAAUGCGUAGAUAUUGGGGAGGAACACCAGUGGCGAAGGCGGCUCACUGGACCGGUACUGACGCUGAUGCGCGAAAGCGUGGGGAGCAAACGGG